Molecule: long non-coding RNA, 2150 nt
Filed under: Homo sapiens (human)
Lineage: Eukaryota; Metazoa; Chordata; Mammalia; Primates; Hominidae
Description: HSALNT0356102
Source: RNAcentral
CUGUUCUUCAGGUUGAGGUGUCACUUGUUUCGUUGUGUUCCGAGUGGCUAGAAAAUAUAGAUGGAAUGAUGCAGAUAAUUUCACAAAUGCUUCAUAGAAAACACUGUUCAUGUAUUCAUUCACUUGAGAAGCACACCUGUCCAGGGCCCACGAUGUGUCUGGUGGUGUCUGGCUGCUGAGCUUACAAAUACGAAACCAGAGUAUGCCCUCCCAGCACCGGCCUCUGGGUAUUCAAGUGCAUAUGGCAAUGCCCACGACAUGUUUUUGAGCGUGUGUAUACGUGUCUGUGCAUGUCAUGUAUGUUACGUGUCUGUGUAUGCCAUGUAUGUUACGUGUCUGUGUAUGUCAUGUAUGUUAUGUGUGCAUGUGUGUGUCUCUCACCAAAAGGGACUCCUUGCUUGCUGUCAAUUGUCUCUGUGUUGUUUGACAGCAGCAGGAGUGGUCUCACUCCACAACACACUGAUCCUUUGCUCCCUAAGGCUGUUCAGAAUGCUUGAAGUUAGAGACGCCAUCUUAACACAAUGACAAGGAAACUUCUAGAACAGCCCUCUCUAUUGUGAAGAGUUUGGCAAAGGAGUUGAGUCUGAGUGCCCCAGUGAGGGGGGUGAUCAGUAUUCCAGCUCAGGAUAAAAGAGGGUGUCUAGGUCAGGUGUGGUGGCUCACACCUAUAAUUCCAGCACAUUGGGAGGCUGAGGCAGGAGGACUGCUUGAGCCCAGGAGUUUAAGACCAGCCUGGACAACAUGGGGAAACCCCAUCACUAACAAAAAAUACAAAAUAUUAGCCAGGCAUGGUGGUGUGCGCCUAUAAGGCCCAGGCAGGAGAAUCACUUGAGGCCAGGAGUUCGAGACCAGCCUGGCCAACAUGGCGAAACCCCAUCUUUGCUAAAAAUAAAAAAAUUAGCCAGGCAUGGUGGUGCACACCUGUAGUCCCAGCUACUUGGGCAGCUGUGGCACAAGAUUCACUUGAACCCAGGAGGUGGAGGUUGCAGUGAUCUGAGAUUGUACCACCGCACCCCAGCCUGGGCAACAGAGCGAGACUGUCUCAAAAAUAAAAAUAAAAUUGUGUGGCCGGGCACUGUGACUCAUGCCUGUAAUCCCAGCAUUUUGGGUGGCUGAGAUGGGCAGAUUACUCAAGGUCAGGAGUUUGAGACCAGCCUGGCCAACAUGGUGAAACCCCAUCUCUACUAAAAAUGCAAAAAUUAGCCAGGCAUGGUGGAGGGUGCCUGUAAUCCCAGCUACUCAGGAGGCUGAGGCAGGAGAAUCACUUGAAGCCAGGAGGCGGAAGUUGCAGUGAGCCGAGAUCGCGUGCCAUUGCACUCCAGCCUAGGCAACAGAGUGAGAGUCUGUCUCCAAAAAAAAAAAAAAUUGUGUUUAGUGAAUGACUUUUCAGGAACCACUAAAAUUAGUUAUCCUGUAGACUGGACUGGCCCAUUUGUGUCUAUAGGGCUGAGUGAACAAAAGCUGGGCUCUGUCUCACUCUUUGCUGCAGUUCUUUUGUUCUUGGUAGUCACAGAAGGGACACUUACCAGAGCUUGUGCAUUGACAUUGGUUGUCCCAGGACGAGUGGCUAGAGUUUCCUGUACAGAGCAUAUAGAGUGACCCGCUUUUUAUUCUGCGGAAACCUCUCUUGCAUUCACAGUUCAACAUGGUUCCUUCCUUGUAGGCCAUGGCUUUGAAUGUGGCGUGUGGGAUCUCUGGCGGGUCAUCGUCACAGAGCUCUGCAAAGCAAAAGAAGCCUAUUAGGAACUCAAGAGGCCCCAGGAGUUCUGUAUGCAGCUGAAGGGUAACAUCCCUUGGGAGCUUUUGCCUUGUCUGGCUGACGCCUUGGCAAUCGCAAGUGACAGUGACGGAGAGCCACCUCCUCUGGAAUGCAUCAUGGAACAGGUCUGGGAGAACAGAGGGUGCAGAAAGGGAAAAGCCAGGCAUUUGUAGUCCUCCUGCCACAGAUGACCAGAAUGACCUCACCCAGGACAAACGGCGACAGAUUUAGGAAUUCAAGCCAGCUUUUCUGACUCCCAGGCACCUGCUCUCUCCUUUCGAGUGUUCGACUCCACUCUCAGUCACUCGUCACUCUUCCCAGAAGGACAAAUGUGCAGCUUCUAUGUCUUGGAUUUCAAAUAAAAGACGAGGAACUUGGUGAAAUGAGGUGG